CAGUCGCCGCGGUAAUACGGAGGGAGCUAGCGUUGUUCGGAAUCACUGGGCGUAAAGCGCACGUAGGCGGCUAUUCAAGUCAGGGGUGAAAGCCCGGGGCUCAACCCCGGAACUGCCUUUGAAACUAGAUAGCUUGAAUCUUGGAGAGGCGAGUGGAAUUCCGAGUGUAGAGGUGAAAUUCGUAGAUAUUCGGAAGAACACCAGUGGCGAAGGCGACUCGCUGGACAAGUAUUGACGCUGAGGUGCGAAAGCGUGGGGAGCAAACAGGAUUAGAUACCCCCGUAGUCCCUGUCUCUUAUAC
This 301-nucleotide ribosomal RNA is filed under the name uncultured bacterium. RNAcentral describes it as "partial 16S ribosomal RNA". It matches the Rfam family "Bacterial small subunit ribosomal RNA", at positions 509 to 807 of the family's 1533-position model. The record is from RNAcentral.